GGUGGGCGUACGCCGUACCACGUCAGCACCAACGAUAAACUGAUACCAGUUCCGGCCCGAACUCGACAAAGAUAAGGGGGAGAAGAGUAGGAAGCGGAGAGGAGAGAAGGAAGGCUCUGAAACAGCUAUGGCGCGAGCCGCUUCAAUCUAUGCCAACAGAACUAUCCUUGCCUGCGCCAAAGAGAGAGAUUCUAAGAUUCAUCUUCCCCUCAAAUCUCGAAAGUGUAGGGUUUUGAUUCUGGGAGGUACGGGUAGAGUGGGAGGCUCCACUGCCGUCGCUCUCUCCAGCCUCUGUCCCGACCUUCAAAUCGUCGUCGCCGGGAGAAACAGGGAAAAAGGUGCUGCCAUGGUGUCUACUCUUGGGGAGAACUCUGAGUUUGCUGAAGUCAACAUUAAUAAUGCAAAGGCAUUGGAAGCAGCUUUAAAUGAUGUGGAUCUUGUUAUUCAUGCUGCAGGCCCUUUCCAACAAGCAGGGAAGUGUACUGUACUGGAAGCUGCCAUACAUACAAAGACAGCAUAUAUUGAUGUAUGUGAUGAUACAAGCUAUGCAUGGUGUGCAAAAUCCUUCCAUGAUGAAGCACUGGCUGCAAAUAUUCCAGCAGUGACAACUUGUGGCAUCUACCCUGGAGUGAGCAAUGUGAUGGCAGCAGAAUUGAUCCGUGCCGCAAGAAAUGAAAGUGAGAGGCAGCCUGAGAGGCUAAGAUUCUACUACUACACAGCUGGCACUGGUGGUGCGGGUCCAACAAUAUUAGCCACUAGUUUUUUGCUUCUUGGAGAGGAUGUUAUUGCAUAUAGAAAAGGAGAAAAAGUCAAACUAAAGCCUUACAGUGGAAUGCUCAACAUCGACUUUGGAAAAGGGAUUAGAAAGAGAGAUGUUUACCUGUUGAAUUUACCGGAAGUAAAAAGUGCUCAUGAAAUCCUAGGAAUACCCACUGUCAGUGCUCGAUUUGGCACUGCACCUUUCUUUUGGAAUUGGGGAAUGGCCGCUCUGACAAGUUUUCUUCCUGCGGAAUUUCUGAGAGACAGAGCCAAGGUCCAUCAGUUAGUUCAAUUGUUUAACCCUCUAGUCCGGGUGAUUGAUGGCAUUGCUGGAGAGCGCGUGUCAAUGAGGGUUGAUUUAGAAUGCUCAGAUGGGCGUUAUACAGUGGGUUUAUUCAGUCAUAAAAGACUUUCAAUAUCAGUGGGAAAUGCAGUGGCUGCAUUUGCACUCGCAGUCCUUGAAGGAAGUACAAAACCUGGCGUUUGGUUUCCAGAGGAGCCCGCAGGAAUUGCAGUCGAGGCAAGGGAAGUUCUUCUCAAACGUGCAGCCCAAGGGACAUUCAAUUUUGUCAUGAACAAGCCUCCAUGGAUGGUGGAAACAAAUCCAAAAGAGCUUAUGUUUGGAAUAUAUUUUUGAGGAAACGAGUGCAUCUCCGAAGCAGAUGAAGCCAUGCUUCAGACUACACCUAUAGUUUGCAGGGAAUGACAAGAGGCAGAGUACCAUGCACUUCUUGAGAUCAGUAGUCAGCAGAAUAAUCAUUUUUCUCUGGAAAGGCAGCAGAAUUCCAAGCGGCCGGAUCUCUACCCUUCGAACGGAAUUUAUAAUUUUAACAUGUAGUAAAUUCACUGACUUGUUUCUCUUUCAAGUAAAUAGAAGGGUCUUUUGGUUGCAUAGUCAUUGCAAUGGAGCGCUGUACCGUAUGUAUAGUUUCUGUAUGAGGAUGAUUGCCGCCUUGGGGUUUGUUUUUCAUUUUAAAAAUAUUAGUUGAAGAGCUAAAGUUGAUGGUAC
Malania oleifera is the source of this 1768-nucleotide RNA transcript. RefSeq lists it as uncharacterized. NCBI's taxonomy places the organism in Eukaryota, Viridiplantae, Streptophyta, Magnoliopsida, Santalales, Ximeniaceae. The transcript has 14 exons. The record is from RefSeq and is a predicted model, not a curated record.